UGGGGUGGGCAUUUUUACAGUGCCCAGACCCUGACAUUGAGGAACUAGAGGUCCACUUCCGCGAGUUCAAGCGUUGUAGCUUUCGUUUGGUGAGUGUAAGAAAAGCAGCUCAUAAAGCAAUUCCCCGUGUCCUGAGAAAUAAGUAUGGGGGCGUCUGAGUUGACAUGGGGAGGGAUUCCUCUGAUCCUUCCGUCCACUUUGGCUAUGCGAUAUCUCAAAUACGAACGAGAUAUUAUCCCGGAAAGAUGCAUCGAACCAGGAGCCAGGUAUCGAGUCAGAAAAUGCAUGGAUGAGAACGUCAGGGGUUAUCGAAGACUGAAGGCCAGUUUGCAAAACAAGAUCGCGGUCAUUGAGAAUGAGCGCCAACACGCCCAUACUAUCGAAACGGAGAGCUUGUCCUCUAUGGUGGCUAAUAUGACGCACUUCACCAUGAAUGACUAUCCAAGACCCGCAGAUCGGCCUUAUGAUCACACGCAGGUGUGCUUCCGGCCUUAUUACGACACCGUUUGACCCAGGCACAAACGAAGGAUCUUUAUUGGCAACACUGAACCAAGAGCUGAGGAAUUCAUGGGUUAUUUCGAUGUCCGUCGGAAGUUCGUUACCAAUCCCAGUGAGAAAUUGAAGUCCGUGGAGUGACCUCUGGGCGCAUGAUAUUGGAUAUCUGAAUAAAUAGAAAUGUGUGGAAA
Molecule: long non-coding RNA, 686 nt
Organism: Tigriopus californicus
Lineage: Eukaryota; Metazoa; Arthropoda; Copepoda; Harpacticoida; Harpacticidae
Exons: 4
Source: RefSeq, a predicted model, not a curated record